RNAcentral lists this ribosomal RNA (253 nucleotides) under uncultured bacterium. Its description in RNAcentral is "partial 16S ribosomal RNA". It matches the Rfam family "Bacterial small subunit ribosomal RNA", at positions 524 to 776 of the family's 1533-position model. The record is from RNAcentral.
UACGUAGGGGCCGAGCGUUGUCCGGAGUUAUUGGGCGUAAAGCGCGCGCAGGCGGCCUCGCGCGCCCGACGUGAAAGCCCCCGGCUUAACCGGGGAGGGUCGUUGGGGACGGCGGGGCUUGAGGGCGGGAGAGGGCGGUGGAAUUCCCGGUGUAGUGGUGAAAUGCGUAGAGAUCGGGAGGAACACCUGUGGCGAAGGCGGCCGACUGGGCCGACCCUGACGCUGAGGCGCGAAGGCGUGGGGAGCGAACGGG